RNAcentral lists this long non-coding RNA (1484 nucleotides) under Vigna radiata. RNAcentral's name for it is "long non-coding RNA (VRAD_LNC016959)". The record is from RNAcentral. Lineage: Eukaryota; Viridiplantae; Streptophyta; Magnoliopsida; Fabales; Fabaceae.
AAUGGUGAACUAAACCCUAUUGUUGUUGGGGGAAACAAUGUAAUCUUUUGAUACUCUCUUUUAUUGAAACUCUUGAUUAUUUAUAUGGUCUCCAUAUGUUUUGAUUGAGAAUUGUUGGGUUAUCAUCUGUGCUUAAGGCCUUUAUCGUUUAACUCAUUCGNUAACUGAUGUUUGUCUUUAUUGAUAUGGGGACGUACAGUAAUGACAUGAACUGGUGAGUAAUUUCUUGAUUUUGCAAUACCACCUAGGGAUAGGGGUAGGACNAUCAAUUGCGCUAACUUCUUUUUAUAAUGCGGUAUUAAUUGCUAGGGGAGGCUAGGGACAGCAAGCCAGUAGUUAAUAUUAGGCUCUUUUCGUCGAGGGAUCGGGUUAAGGGGAGGUUAAGAAAGUCGCAUAACAAUUAAUUAAUCAAACUAAUUUUCAAGAGGAGUAGGUAAGAGAGAGCGGAUUAGAUGAAAUUGUAAACCCCCAACAACUCCAUUCAUUCAUCCACUUUUGUGUUUAACCUCAAUUGAUCAAAUUGCAUUCAUGUUUAUUUUUCUGCACUUUAUAAAAAUCCCAAAAUAUUAUUUUUUAUAGUCUUGAUUGGUUAAGCAAAAGCACAACAGUUAGUGUCGUGAGUCUCUUGGGAAAACGAUACUUGGACUUACCAUUUUAUUAUUACUUGAACGAUUUGGUACGCUUGCCAAUCCGUUAACAAGUUUUUGGCGUCGUUGCCGGGGACUCAUGGUAGAACUAUUCGGUGUUUGCGAUUCUUGAUCGAUUAAACUUUCUUUUUAUUUUAUUUGUCUUAUUUGAUUUGAUUUUAUCUUAUUUUGUUUUAUUUGAUUUGAUUUGAUUUGAUUUGAUUUGAUUUGAUUUGAUUUUAUUUUUAUUUUUCUUUUUAUCUUUCUGUUUUUAUUUUUUAUUUUUAAAAAAAAAACGAAAAAAAAAAUAAAAUAAUAUCUUUCCAUAUUCUUCUCCUUAUUCUUCUUCACAUUCUUUCCCUCAUCCUUUUUCUUAUCUUUCCAUCUAUCUACCUCUCUAUCUUUCUAUUUAUUUUUCUUUUUAUCUUUUUAUUUUAUUUUUUUAUGUAUUUAUUUAUUUUUUUCCUUUUAUCUUUUCUUAAAAAAAACGAAAAUUAAAAUUAAAAUAAAAAUAAAAAAUUAUCUUUUACUAUUUUUAUUUUGGUUAAAAGCUCUGUUUGGUCCCAAUUUUGGUUCAGAAAAUUCGUUUUGGUCCCUGAGUUGAAAUUGUGUUCAAUUUCGUCCCAAAGUUCGAUUUUAAUGUUCAAUUUGGUCCUUUUCCUUAACAACGUUAAAAUUGUUAACGGCAAGGUGUCCAGCUCUGCAACGGCUAUGUGAGGUGUCAGUUUUUUGCUGACUGGGCAUCCUUUCUAGCCGUUACAAAUUUUUAAAUUAAAUUUCUUAAUCAGAUUUUUGAUUUUAGGAAUAAAUUGAAGAGAGUGGAUUCUAAUUAGGGUUUUUGAUUUCCCAAUCUUUUUC